This is a small nucleolar RNA of Sorex fumeus (smoky shrew), 104 nucleotides long. RefSeq annotates it as small nucleolar RNA U13. The transcript has a single exon. Lineage: Eukaryota; Metazoa; Chordata; Mammalia; Eulipotyphla; Soricidae. The record is from RefSeq and is a predicted model, not a curated record.
GUCCCUUUCCAGUUCAUGUGCAUGAUGAUUCAGUGUUCACACAUUUGUGUGACAUGUGCCUCCCUUAAAUCUUGUUCCGCAUUUGGCACAUUACUUAUCUGAUG